UUUUCAUGGUCUGUCACCCUGAAUGUGCCCAAUCUCCUCUGAUCUCAAAAGCUAAGCAGGGUCAGGCCUAGUUAGUACUUGGAUGGGAGAUUGUAUCAUCUAAAUAUGAUAGGAAAGCUAUGUCUAUGAAAUU
Molecule: non-coding RNA, 133 nt
Organism: Mesocricetus auratus (golden hamster)
Lineage: Eukaryota; Metazoa; Chordata; Mammalia; Rodentia; Cricetidae
Source: Rfam